GCCAGACUCCUACGGGAGGCAGCAGUGGGGAAUAUUGCACAAUGGGGGAAACCCUGAUCCAGCGACGCCGCGUGAGUGAAGAAGUAUUUCGGUAUGUAAAGCUCUAUCAGCAGGGAAGAAAGAAAUGACGGUACCUGACUAAGAAGCCCCGGCUAACUACGUGCCAGCAGCCGCGGUAAUACGUAGGGGGCAAGCGUUAUCCGGAUUUACUGGGUGUAAAGGGGGCGCAGACGGCGAUGCAAGCCAGGAGUGAAAGCCCGGGGCCCAACCCCGGGACUGCUCUUGGAACUGCGUGGCUGGAGUGCAGGAGGGGCAGACGGAAUUCCUGGUGUAGCGGUGAAAUGCGUAGAUAUCAGGAGGAACACCGGCGGCGAAGGCGGCCUGCUGGACCGCGACUGACGUUGAGGCUCGAAAGCGUGGGGAGCGAACAGGAUUAGAUACCCUUGUA
This 448-nucleotide ribosomal RNA is filed under the name uncultured bacterium. Its description in RNAcentral is "partial 16S ribosomal RNA". It matches the Rfam family "Bacterial small subunit ribosomal RNA", at positions 330 to 792 of the family's 1533-position model. The record is from RNAcentral.